RNAcentral lists this ribosomal RNA (498 nucleotides) under uncultured bacterium. RNAcentral's name for it is "partial 16S ribosomal RNA". It matches the Rfam family "Bacterial small subunit ribosomal RNA", at positions 30 to 523 of the family's 1533-position model. The record is from RNAcentral.
AUUGAACGCUGGCGGCAUGCCUUACACAUGCAAGUCGAACGGUAACAGGUCUUCGGAUGCUGACGAGUGGCGAACGGGAGAGUAAUACAUCGGAACGUUCCCGAGAGUGGGGGAUAACGAGGCGAAAGCUUUGUUAAUACCGCAUACGAUCUCAGGAUCAAAGCUGGGGACCGGAAGGCCUUGCUCUAAAGGAGCGGCCGAUGGAAGAUUAGGUAGUUGGUGGGAUAAAAGCUUACCAAGCCGACGAUCUGUAGCUGGUCUGAGAGGACGACCAGCCACACUGGGACUGAGACACGGCCCAGACUCCUACGGGAGGCAGCAGUGGGGAAUUUUGGACAAUGGGCGCAAGCCUGAUCCAGCCAUGCCGCGUGCAGGAUGAAGGCCUUCGGGUUGUAAACUGCUUUUGUACGGAACGAAAAGGCUCUGGUUAAUACCUGGGGUCCAUGACGGUACCGUAAGAAUAAGCACCGGCUAACUACGUGCCAGCCGCCGCCGUAA